UGAGUAACACGUGAGUGACCUGCCUUUUAGACGUGGAACAACUUACCGAAAGGUGAGCUAAUGCCGGAUGAGUUAUAUAAGUGCAUGUUUAUAUAGGAAAAGUUGGGGAGACCUGACGCUGAAAGAUGGACUCGCGUCCCAUUAGCUAGUUGGUAGGGUAAUGGCCUACCAAGGCGACGAUGGGUAGCCGGCCUGAGAGGGUGGCCGGCCACACUGGGACUGAGACACGGCCCAGACUCCUACGGGAGGCAGCAG
RNAcentral lists this ribosomal RNA (255 nucleotides) under uncultured bacterium. RNAcentral describes it as "partial 16S ribosomal RNA". It matches the Rfam family "Bacterial small subunit ribosomal RNA", at positions 107 to 354 of the family's 1533-position model. The record is from RNAcentral.